Oncorhynchus keta (chum salmon) is the source of this 922-nucleotide long non-coding RNA. RefSeq lists it as uncharacterized. The transcript has 4 exons. The record is from RefSeq and is a predicted model, not a curated record. NCBI's taxonomy places the organism in Eukaryota, Metazoa, Chordata, Actinopteri, Salmoniformes, Salmonidae.
GUGGUGUUAUUGGCACAGUGGUGAGGUUAUUUUAGUGGUGAUAGUAUGGUGGUGUUAUUGGCUCUGUUAUUUUAGUGGUGAUAGUAUGGUGGUGUUAUUGGCACAGUGGUGAGGUUAUUUUAGUGGUGAUAGUAUGGUGGUGUUAUUGGCUCUGUUAUUUUAGUGGUGAUAGUAUGGUGGUGUUAUUGGCUAGGUUAUUUUAGUGGUGAUAGUAUGGUGGUGUUAUUGGCACAGUGGGAGGUUAUUUUAGUGGUGAUAGUAUGGUGGUGUUAUUGGCACAGUGGGAGGUUAUUUUAGUGGUGAUAGUAUGGUGGUGUUAUUGGCACAGUGGUGAGGUUAUUUUAGUGGUGAUAGUAUGGUGGUGUUAUUGGCUCUGUUAUUUUAGUGGUGAUAGUAUGGUGGUGUUAUUGGCUCUGUUAUUUUAGUGGUGAUAGUAUGGUGGUGUUAUUGGCUCUGUUAUUUUAGUGGUGAUAGUAUGGUGGUGUUAUUGGCUCUGUUAUUUUAGUGGUGAUAGUAUGGUGGUGUUAUUGGCUCGGUUAUUUUAGUGGUGAUAGUAUGGUGGUGUUAUUGGCUCGGUUAUUUUAGUGGUGAUAGUAUGGUGGUGUUAUUGGCUCUGUUAUUUUAGUGGUGAUAGUAUGGUGGUGUUAUUGGCUCUGUUAUUUUAGUGGUGAUAGUAUGGUGGUGUUAUUGGCUCGGUUAUUUUAGUGGUGAUAGUAUGGUGGUGUUAUUGGCUCUGUUAUUUUAGUGGUGAUAGUAUGGUGGUGUUAUUGGCUCUGUUAUUUUAGUGGUGAUAGUAUGGUGGUGUUAUUGGCUCUGUUAUUUUAGUGGUGAUAGUAUGGUGGUGUUAUUGGCUCUGUUAUUUUAGUGGUGAUAGUAUGGUGGUGUUAUUGGCUCGGUUAUUUUAGUGGUGACAGUAUGGUGG